AACGAAGACUUUGUCUUGGCUGGCGCGUUGUUGGAGGUAGGGUGAAGUUGGGUGUGCGUUGAAUAUAAAUUUUUAAAUAUAGAAAAGCUUGAUAGAUACUUAGUUGAAUUAUCAAAGACGUAAGGAUAUAAUGAGUUAUGGUAGUAGAGGUCCUCCUUGUAUUGAUGGUAUGACUUCGUUAAAAGUGGAUAAUUUGACGUACAGAACAACAGCAGAAGAAUUGAAACGUGUUUUUCGUAAAUAUGGCGACGUUGGGGACGUGUAUAUUCCUCGACACCCAUUUACGAGGGAUAGCCGUGGUUUCGCCUUUGUCAGAUUUUAUGACAGUAGAGAUGCAGAAGAUGCAAUGGAUGCUUUGGAUGGAUAUCGUUUAGAUGGCCGAGAACUGAGAGUACAAAUGGCAAGGUACGCUAGACCGACAGAAACAUGGCGAGGGCCACCAAGGGGAGGGAGAAACAGGGGAAGAGGGGGACGCUCACGAUCUCGUUCUCGUGGUCGUCGUUCAAGGUCUCGUUCAAGAAGAUCACGUACUAGGUCACGAUCAAGAUCUCGGUCUAGACGACAUCGUUCUCGAUCAGGAAGCGACAGGAGGAGGAGGAGGUCUCGUUCCAAGUCACGUUCUAAGAGUCGUAGCCGUAGCAAAAGUAGGUCGAGAAGAGACAAGAGUGCCAGCAGGAGUCCUUCUAAAAGACGAGAGGAAGAGAGGGAAAGUCGUAGCGUUAGUCGCAGCAAGAGCAGAAGUGCAAGUAAGAGUCCGGUGAAGGAAAACAAUUUUGAAGAUGAAGAAAAUCACGUGGAACGAAGUAGAAGUCGGAGCAAGAGUCGGAGUCCAAGUCGAGAAAGAAAAGAGGGCGUGGAAGAGGAAAAUGAGAAGCAGGAGAGCGAAACUGAUGACAGAAGGGAGAGCAGAAGUAGAAGUGGAUCAAAAAGUCCCGAAGCAGAGUAAUUUGUGUCCUUAUGAAAUAGUAGAUGACUUGUAAGAAAUGGUUGAGAUCCUGAGUAAAAAAAGGAGCUUUUACUGAUGCAACGGUUCAUAGAAGGGGCUGUAGUAAGCAGUAAAGGUGGUAUGGUGGCUGGGUUCGAGUGAGACCAGAACCUGGUGACUACCAUGUUCCUGAGCCAGUUUGCUGUUUCCCCUGCCUGCCUGCAGAGGGCUGCUGUGCACCAGGUUCACUUGCAGAAAGUCGAGGUCGAGUUGUUGCAGUCAAACAGACGUGUGUACGGGUAGCAGGAGCUGUUUCAGAGCCUUUUUUUUUUCCAUUUGCAAUCAUGACCUGGCUUAUUCUAGUUAAAAAAAAAAAGAACACUAGUUUUUGAACAGGGUUUAUUCAGAGAAUUCUAGCGUACAUACGUCACAGUUUUUUUAGGAAUACUUCAGCUAAGCUGGCACGAGUUGUAAGAAUAGUGCAGAGUUAAAUUGUUGUUUUUUUGUUGUUUUUUUCAAGCUGCUGUCUUUCCCACACUUCUGGUGAAAAUUCUAGUUGUGAUGUGUUUAAAAUGACAGCAAACUUUUAGGAAACAAACAAAAUUGGACUAGUAGAUAACAGUUACAGUAUUCACAUCCUUAAGUAAAACAUCAGUACUGUUGGCAUAAGUUUCAUCUCACAAUUUGCAAAAAUUGAAUCAACUUUUUUUUUUUAAGAAUCAGUUGAAGUUUAUAGUUUGGGACCUCUGUCCUAUGACAAGUAUUUUCAAAUAUUGCUCACAAAGCUACUUUAUAAGAGUUCUAUAAUUCUGGAAAUAUCUCGGCAUGGUCGGUCUCUCGGGACCAUAUCAAAAUAUUGUUUGUUUAAGUUUCGUGUUAGUCAACAUAUGUUAACCCAUUGACUGCGGCUGCUCUAAACGCGCGUGGAACCUUUGCAAACCGUGCACUAUAUACACGGCACACUCGCAUUCAGCUGCAAUAGGCGGACGAUACCCUACACAGCGAAUCGGUAGUCAAUGGGUUAAGAUUUACCCAUAACGAUAUACAGGUGUAUUUGUAGCAUUUAUUGUGUACAAUAUUGUAUUUAAAGAUUUAAAAUCUAAUUAUUAUAAUUUGUAGUCAUGCAGUAAACAUUUGUCUAUUUAGAAAGCAGAAUGAAUUUUGUUGCCGAGGUUGAUUUUGUGAGAUGCAAAAGAAUGUCAUUUUUUAAUCUAGCACCUUAGUAGGUUAGUUUUGUGGGUGAGGGGGUUUCUUGUCUGCUUUUUUAGAAAUUCAUAACCUUAGUCGUUUAUACGUUCGAUUUGUUUCCUUCACAUACAUCCACGUGGGUCAGUAAUUUUCGUUCAGAUCUUUGUGCUACAUUUCCUACUUCUAUGGCUUCGUAAAUUGUAUAUUUUUGGCGUCUCUUUAAAUUUAACCAAACGAUCCAUCAGUUAUUUGAAAUUUGUUUUUUAAAGUGAUUUUUUAUUUAUUUUCUGUGAACUAUCUGAAGAAAAGCUUUGUUUUACAACAUUAUUGCCAUGUGGUUGUAGAAAAUGGUGUUUUUUCAAGUUAGUCUCACUCUAACAGUUGGCUCCUUUUUCUUGCAAGAUUCCUGAGCACGAGUCAUCUCUAGUUUUGCUCAAGCAGUUCAAAUUCUGUGUGGUGUAUUGGUAAUGUAUCAGUCAUUGUUGAAAAAUGUACAUUCUAGGGGGGAUUUACUUGCAAAAUUUAUCGGUGGAUUUAAUGUAUGGCCCAGGGUUUUUUUAGUUGAAUGUCACUGCUAAACAAAAUAGGGAACUUUCUUUUUGGCAGACUCCAGUUUUCGUCCGUGCAAGGAUAAAGAAAAACCUUGACAACUGACAAAAGGUUUUGUUUUUGCCUGUGGUGCUACGAAAGUUUUCACAAGGACUUUUCUAGCUAGCGAAUAUGCUGGUAAUAAUCUUGUUUACAGCUGAGGUUUUCUUUGAGAGGUUUGUUAUUAAGACCUGCUUGUAUUCUUAACAGUGCAUUCAACUAGCAGAGGUGAUUUUUAGUUACAUUGUUAUUUGUUCGACUGAUUAUGUUGUCUAAUUUGUGGGUUGAAAUUUAGUGAAUAAAUUUGGAACUUCUGGACUGAAAUCAACAUGGAAUCCUCAGGAUUUAAAAGGCAUGUGAAAGUUAUUUAAGGAAAUGUUACAUCUACAACUAAAAUGUUUUGUACUUUAAAGUGAGGUUAGUUUGUACUAAAGAUAAAGAAUUAUCUGAAUACAAGGAUUAAUAUGGCCUGUGUUUUCAGGUCGGUAACCAAGUUUUAGUGGGAAUUCCUACACUCAGAAAAAAAAAAAAAGAUUAUUGCAAGGCAUGACAAUUAGCCUGCAAGGAUUGAUUUUAAAUUAAGCUAUAAAUUUAUGAAAUGUGAAGUAUUAUCCUAAUAAUGAACCACAACGAUCUGGUAGUUCUAACAAUGAUUCAGUUGAGUUUAUUUUAGAGUUUCUGUUGGGCAGUUUCGUGUUCAACAACUUCAGUACCGAAGAUAAAGGAAAUGGCGGCCAGGAUUACAUCAAGCUUGGACUAAUUUAUUGAAACAAAUCCAGCGUCGUUGAAGAUUUCCAAAAGUUUGGCAGUCAACCCAUUAAUACACUGACAAGAUAAACCUGUUAAAUGUUUUGGAGCCUAUCUGUACCUUUCUUGUGUUUGUUGUUCAUCAUUAUUAUCAUGUCACUCUUCUUUCUUAAUGUUGUGAGACAUUUCUGUAAACUUAUUAUUUUAUGUACGGUUUUCCCUUAAAUGUGGUUAUUAGACCAUUUCUCUAAUUUUUGCUUUGCAAGGGAGACUGGAACUUUAUUUUUUUUUCCCAUGUUCAAGUUGUUAAAUAAAUAUUAGUAAAACCUUU
RNAcentral lists this unclassified non-coding RNA (3779 nucleotides) under Limulus polyphemus (Atlantic horseshoe crab). RNAcentral's name for it is "serine/arginine-rich splicing factor 2-like, transcript variant X1". Lineage: Eukaryota; Metazoa; Arthropoda; Merostomata; Xiphosura; Limulidae. The record is from RNAcentral.